UAGUCCCCAUUUGGACACCUUGAGCUUGCUAGCUUGCCUCUCUAAGUAGCGCAAAGCCCCCGCACGCGRCAACAACAUCAGCAAGCGCRAAGCCGCGCCCGCCUCUSACGCCGCAGCGKGUCRAGRGCUUUGCGCGCGUGAAGAGAGAGUCAUGUUGUGGCGCUGGGCAACGCGCYCCCAGCUUGCGCGGCACGCCAACAGGGCCGCCCCAGCGAGCGCUGGGGCAGCCUCGGCGCCGCAGCGCUGGAGGCGCGCUGCCAUUGCUUGCUCCUAGCUCAGGCGGGAGAGCUCCCGCAGGCGCAGCGUCGCCGCCGCGAGGGGCGGGCCGGGAGCCGCGGCGCUCCGCAGCUGCCACAGCCCGCAGCCGCUUGCGGUCCCGCAGCGAGUCGACGCCGCCGAGCCUGCCCUGAGCGGGGCCAGUCGCCACCAAAACAAAGCCCGUGAGKGUCCUGGGCAGAACUUUG
RNAcentral lists this ribosomal RNA (464 nucleotides) under Diplectrona zealandensis. RNAcentral's name for it is "eukaryotic LSU rRNA". Lineage: Eukaryota; Metazoa; Arthropoda; Insecta; Trichoptera; Hydropsychidae. The record is from RNAcentral.